AAUGGAGGAGACUCUGAUCCAGCAAUUCUGUGUGCACGAAGAAGGUUUUCGGAUUGUAAAGUGCUUUCAGCAGGGAAGAAGGAAGUGACGGUACCUGCAGAAGAAGCGACGGCUAAAUACGUGCCAGCAGCCGCGGUAAUACGUAUGUCGCGAGCGUUAUCCGGAAUUAUUGGGCAUAAAGGGCAUCUAGGCGGUAUAUCAAGUCAGGGGUGAAAACUUACGGCUCAACCGUGAGCUUGCCUUUGAAACUGAGAUACUGGAGUACCGGAGAGGUGGGCGGAACUACACGAGUAGAGGUGAAAUUCGUAGAUAUGUGUAGGAAUGCCGAUGAUGAAGAUAGCUCACUGGACGGCAACUGACGCUGAAGUGCGAAAGCUAGGGGAGCGAA
This 388-nucleotide ribosomal RNA is filed under the name uncultured bacterium. Its description in RNAcentral is "bacterial SSU rRNA". It matches the Rfam family "Bacterial small subunit ribosomal RNA", at positions 370 to 772 of the family's 1533-position model. The record is from RNAcentral.